RNAcentral lists this ribosomal RNA (648 nucleotides) under uncultured bacterium. Its description in RNAcentral is "bacterial SSU rRNA". It matches the Rfam family "Bacterial small subunit ribosomal RNA", at positions 136 to 818 of the family's 1533-position model. The record is from RNAcentral.
GUUCGGAAUAACUCAGGGAAACUUGGGCUAAUACCGGAUACGCCCUAACGGGGAAAGAUUUAUCGCCAUAGGAGGGGCCCGCGUCGGAUUAGGUAGUUGGUGGGGUAACGGCCCACCAAGCCUUCGAUCCGUAGCUGGUCUGAGAGGAUGAUCAGCCACACUGGGACUGAGAUACGGCCCAGACUCCUACGGGAGGCAGCAGUGGGGAAUAUUGGACAAUGGGGGCAACCCUGAUCCAGCAAUGCCGCGUGGGUGAUGAAGGCCUUCGGGUUGUAAAGCCCUUUCGGCGGGGAAGAUGAUGACGGUACCCGCAGAAGAAGCCCCGGCUAACUUCGUGCCAGCAGCCGCGGUAAUACGAAGGGGGCUAGCGUUGUUCGGAAUUACUGGGCGUAAAGGGCGCGUAGGCUGUGCUGUAAGUCAGGCGUGAAAGGCCCGGGCUCAACCUGGGAACUGCGCUUGAUACUGCGGCGCUGGAAGGCGGGAGAGGAUGGCGGAAUUCCCAGUGUAGAGGUGAAAUUCGUAGAUAUUGGGAAGAACACCGGUGGCGAAGGCGGCCAUCUGGCCCGCAAUUGACGCUGAGGCGCGAAAGCGUGGGGAGCAAACAGGAUUAGAUACCCUGGUAGCCCACGCCCUAAACGAUGUCAACUG